This 583-nucleotide long non-coding RNA is filed under the name Phascolarctos cinereus (koala). RNAcentral describes it as "lncRNA (ENSPCIG00000035652.1)". Lineage: Eukaryota; Metazoa; Chordata; Mammalia; Diprotodontia; Phascolarctidae. The record is from RNAcentral.
GCUGCCGGCUUUAUUCCCAGGCUCCCGGGCUGCGCGAGCGGCCGCCGAGGAAGUAGAAACACACAGCUUUGUCUGAGUUUAGAAGGAGCAACUGAGGUGGGUAUUAGAGAAUGGGUCUCAAAGGUUUUUCAGGUAUGACUAAGCAGGAAGAUACUUAGGGCUGGGUUCCCCAUCCCUUACCUCACCCCCCCACCCCCAAACCUCCUAUCCCAGAACAAGCAGGUGUUUGUGCUCAGAGUUGACUUGAAAGGAUGACUGAGUGAAUUGCAGUUCCUGGCUGGGAACUUGGGGGAGGGACAGGGCAGAUGGUCCAGAUUUCAUAUGAGUUGGGCUCUCAUUUAGCUGAUUAAUUUUGUUUAGUUUUUAACGGAAACCUGUGGUGUAAUAUAAGAUUCUAAUCACUGUCUAAUUACAAAGCAGGAUAAAUCACCAAACAACCUUGUUUAAAAGUAUCUCAAAAUCUGAAAUGUUAUAAAAUAGGAUAAUUACCAAUAGGGCAGAGACCUGCUGUAGAGAGAAUUUCCCCAGGGCAAAAGGAUGAGGGGGCUUCAGAAUCCAUUGAGAUUUGUUUACAAAACAUGUU